AUUGAGCGCUGGCGGCAGGCUUAACACAUGCAAGUCGAGCGGGGGAAGGUAGCUUGCUACUGGACCUAGCGGCGGACGGGUGAGUAAUGCUUAGGAAUCUGCCUAUUAGUGGGGGACAACAUCUCGAAAGGGAUGCUAAUACCGCAUACGUCCUACGGGAGAAAGCAGGGGAUCUUCGGACCUUGCGCUAAUAGAUGAGCCUAAGUCGGAUUAGCUAGUUGGUGGGGUAAAGGCCUACCAAGGCGACGAUCUGUAGCGGGUCUGAGAGGAUGGUCCGCCACACUGGGACUGAGACACGGCCCAGACUCCUACGGGAGGCAGCAGUGGGGAAUAUUGGACAAUGGGGGGAACCCGGAUCCAGCCAUGCCGCGUGUGUGAAGAAGGCCUUAUGGUUGUAAAGCACUUUAAGCGAGGAGGAGGCUACUUUAGUUAAUACCUAGAGAUAGUGGACGUUACUCGCAGAAUAAGCACCGGCUAACUCUGUGCCAGCAGCCGCCGUAA
RNAcentral lists this ribosomal RNA (501 nucleotides) under uncultured bacterium. RNAcentral's name for it is "partial 16S ribosomal RNA". It matches the Rfam family "Bacterial small subunit ribosomal RNA", at positions 30 to 523 of the family's 1533-position model. The record is from RNAcentral.